This 337-nucleotide unclassified non-coding RNA is filed under the name soil metagenome. RNAcentral describes it as "partial contains 5.8S ribosomal RNA, internal transcribed spacer 2, and large subunit ribosomal RNA". The stretch from base 1 to 120 matches the Rfam family "5.8S ribosomal RNA", at positions 35 to 154 of the family's 154-position model. The record is from RNAcentral.
GAUGAAGAACGUAGCGAAAUGCGAUAAGUAGUGUGAAUUGCAGAAUUCAGUGAAUCAUCGAAUCUUUGAACGCACAUCGCGCCCCUUGGUAUUCCAUGGGGCAUGCCUGUUCGAGCGUCAUUUGUACCUUCAAGCUCUGCUUGGUGUUGGGUGUUUGUCUCGCCUCUGCGUGUAGACUCGCCUCAAAACAAUUGGCAGCCGGCGUAUUGAUUUCGGAGCGCAGUACAUCUCGCGCUUUGCACUCAUAACGACGACGUCCAAAAGUACAUUUUUACACUCUUGACCUCGGAUCAGGUAGGGAUACCCGCUGAACUUAAGCAUAUCAAUAAGCGGAGGA